RNAcentral lists this small RNA (345 nucleotides) under Pongo abelii (Sumatran orangutan). RNAcentral describes it as "processed transcript". Lineage: Eukaryota; Metazoa; Chordata; Mammalia; Primates; Hominidae. The record is from RNAcentral.
UUCAGGGACCAGCGGAACGAGCCUUUUUCUCGUUAAUAGGUUUCUGGGUAAAUGGCCCAACCAGAGAGUUCUGCAGAUUUUGGCAUAGCUCAACAAAAUAACUAUUACUGCUACUGGCAAAGGAAACCACACCUCUACCUGAAAACCAAGAUGAAGACCCACUAGAAGAUCCACAUCUUCAUUUGAAUAUUGAGGAAUCAAACCAAGAGUUUAUGGUGAAAAGUGAAGAACUCUACGACUCCCUCAUGAAUUGCCACUGGCAGCCUCUGGACACAGUUCACUCCGAAAUUCCAGAUGAGACCCCAAAGUGAAGCAGGGUGUUCAUUAAACUCCACAAUUAUCAUA